CUACAUGUUCCUAUCUUUCUUUU
This 23-nucleotide small nuclear RNA is filed under the name Arabidopsis thaliana (thale cress). RNAcentral describes it as "snRNA_11009". Lineage: Eukaryota; Viridiplantae; Streptophyta; Magnoliopsida; Brassicales; Brassicaceae. The record is from RNAcentral.